GAUGAACGCUGGCGGUGUGCCUAAUACAUGCAAGUCGAGCGAACAGACGAGGAGCUUACUCCUCUGACGUUAGCGGCGGACGGGUGAGUAACACGUGGAUAACCUACCUAUAAGACUGGGAUAACUUCGGGAAACCGGAGCUAAUACCGGAUAACAUGUUGAACCGCAUGGUUCAACAGUGAAAGACGGUCUUGCUGUCACUUAUAGAUGGAUCCGCGUCGCAUUAGCUAGUUGGUAAGGUAACGGCUUACCAAGGCAACGAUGCGUAGCCGACCUGAGAGGGUGAUAGGCCACACUGGAACUGAGACACGGUCCAGACUCCUAAGGGAGGCAGCAGUAGGGAAUCUUCCGCAAUGGGCGAAAGCCUGACGGAGCAACGCCGCGUGAGUGAAGAAGGUCUUCGGAUCGUAAAACUCUGUUAUUAGGGAAGAACAAAUGUGUAAGUAACUAUGCACGUCUUGACGGUACCUAAUCAGAAAGCCACGGCUAACUACGUG
Molecule: ribosomal RNA, 497 nt
Filed under: uncultured bacterium
Lineage: Bacteria
Description: partial 16S ribosomal RNA
Rfam family: Bacterial small subunit ribosomal RNA
Source: RNAcentral